Molecule: ribosomal RNA, 528 nt
Filed under: Triticum aestivum (bread wheat)
Lineage: Eukaryota; Viridiplantae; Streptophyta; Magnoliopsida; Poales; Poaceae
Description: partial small subunit ribosomal RNA
Source: RNAcentral
AUGGACACGGUGACCACGGCCUGGGCGCAGCCAGUCGCGCCAAACUGUGUGUUUGCGCGCCUCCACAUCAAGCUAGCUCGCACGGCCAGGGAUCUUUGCAUUUGGAGCCAGAGCCUCUUCGGCGACGCAAAGUUGCAGUUCCACAUAGCUUGUGAGGUCAUCUUGCGCCUUAACGUAGCUCAAGAGAGGCGCCAGCUGUCGCCGGCAGAACGUGAGCUGCGGAAGGGACUGAAGCUCAGGCUUCUGGGUCUGGCAGCGAUCGAGCGGUGCAGAAAGAGACAAGCUUCUAGGCUUACAUGGCUGCGCUCCGGCGAUGCUCCAACAAAAUUCUUCAUGGCCAAGAUUUGCUCACGCAGAAGGAAAAUUUUUAUCCAUGCGCUCUCGACCAACGAGUUUGUUGCCACGGCUCACAGCGACAAAGAAGCGGCCAUCCACAACCAUUUUGAUGCAAUCCUAGGGACAGCAGGCCACCGUACAUCCACGAUCAACUGGAGUCAGAUCAACAUGCCACAGAUUCAGGGAGGGGGG